UUUCCCUCAGGAUAGCUGGCAUUCUGGGAAACAAACAGUUUUAUCCGGUAAAGCGAAUGAUUAGAGGCAUUGGGGGCGAAACGUCCUCAACCUAUUCUCAAACUUUAAAUGGGUGAGAAGCUUGACUCGCUUAAACGGAGUCGGGCCUUGAAUGUGAGUGCCAAGUGGGCCAUUUUUGGUAAGCAGAACUGGCGCUGUGGGAUGAACCA
This 209-nucleotide non-coding RNA is filed under the name Echinostoma caproni. RNAcentral describes it as "Eukaryotic large subunit ribosomal RNA". It matches the Rfam family "Eukaryotic large subunit ribosomal RNA", at positions 967 to 1170 of the family's 3401-position model. The record is from Rfam by way of RNAcentral. Lineage: Eukaryota; Metazoa; Platyhelminthes; Trematoda; Plagiorchiida; Echinostomatidae.